UCAUACCAUGCUGAAUAUACCGGUUCUCGUUAGAUCACUGAAGUUAAGCAUCAUUGGGCGCGGUCAGUACUUGGGUGGGUGACCACCUGGGAACACCGCGUGCCGUU
This 107-nucleotide ribosomal RNA is filed under the name Caerostris darwini. Lineage: Eukaryota; Metazoa; Arthropoda; Arachnida; Araneae; Araneidae. The record is from RNAcentral.